Molecule: ribosomal RNA, 464 nt
Filed under: uncultured bacterium
Lineage: Bacteria
Description: bacterial SSU rRNA
Rfam family: Bacterial small subunit ribosomal RNA
Source: RNAcentral
GGCAGGCCUAACACAUGCAAGUCGAGCGGUAAGGCCUUUCGGGGUACACGAGCGGCGAACGGGUGAGUAACACGUGGGUGAUCUGCCCUGCACUCUGGGAUAAGCUUGGGAAACUGGGUCUAAUACCGGAUAUGACCGCAUGCCGCAUGGUGUGUGGUGGAAAGAUUUAUCGGUGCAGGAUGGGCCCGCGGCUAUCAGCUUGUUGGUGGGGUAAUGGCCUACCAAGGCGACGACGGGUAGCCGACCUGAGAGGGUGACCGGCCACACUGGGACUGAGACACGGCCCAGACUCCUACGGGAGGCAGCAGUGGGGAAUAUUGCACAAUGGGCGCAAGCUGAUGCAGCGACGCCGCGUGAGGGACGAAGGCCUUCGGGUUGUAAACCUCUUUCAGCAGGGACGAAGCGUGAGUGACGGUACCUGCAGAAGAAGCACCGGCUAACUCUGUGCCAGCAGCCGCGGUAAU